This is a non-coding RNA of Aspergillus sclerotiicarbonarius CBS 121057, 81 nucleotides long. The record is from the annotation of a GenBank genome assembly. NCBI's taxonomy places the organism in Eukaryota, Fungi, Ascomycota, Eurotiomycetes, Eurotiales, Aspergillaceae.
GCCCUUGUAGCUCAGUGGUAGAGCGCUUCACUCGUAUCGCGCGUCAUGAAGAGGUCCGCGGUUCAAUCCCGCGUGGGGGCA